ACAUUUCCUAGAAAAAGGCAAAUUACACUAAUAACUAGUAGAGGAAAAAGGGGGAAAAGAAAGGAAAGGAAAAUAUAGAAGUAUAGAAGAGAGUUUGACGUACUGAGAAGAGAAGAGAGGAAAUCCAUAUGAUUCAACGCUGCUAAGGAGAUUUGUUUGAGUUCUUAGAAAUUGAUCUCAUUUUUUCCUUAAACCUCUCCCCCUCUCUGUCUCUUCUCAAUUCUCAUAUUUAUGACCCUAAUUUUCUCAGAAUUGAUCCAGUUUUGAGGUGAAUUGCCAUUUCCAUAAUUCAGAAGAAUUUCUGAGUUUUUGAAGUUCUAAAACCCCUUCAGGUGUAAGGUUUUAAUUGACUGGAGCUGGGCUAAUCG
Non-coding RNA from Nicotiana tabacum (common tobacco), 368 nucleotides. The record is from RefSeq and is a predicted model, not a curated record. NCBI's taxonomy places the organism in Eukaryota, Viridiplantae, Streptophyta, Magnoliopsida, Solanales, Solanaceae.